CCAUAAAAUGCUUUUCACCUACCAGUCAAAAUUUAGAUACUAAUAACAGUUUGCUAUUAUUCAAUUGCAGUUUUCUUUACUGUUACUUAUUUACUAUCUAUGUACUCAAAACUCAUAAAUAGUAAAAUAUAUUUAUACUGAACUUGCAAAAACUUUUAGCUACAUCUAAUAAUAGUUGUGCAGGAAAAUAAGAAGUUGGACAUGUGAAGUGGGGAACUGAGAUAUUCCAUCACGAUGUGGACUCCAAGACGGCAGCGCCGAACUCCAUUGGCCCAACUCUGUUUAACCACAGCUCACCUCCUGCCAAUCAACCCAUACAACAAUUUAUUCAUUAUCAAUGUAUGCUAAGAACCAUUAAACCAAUCACAAUAUAUAAUUAACAUUUAAUUACAAAUAUAAAGGAUACACACAUACUCACAUGUCACAUCUCAUACUUCGCACGUAUAUAUGCACACAUAAACACACAAACAUGUAUCCUUUUUUCUCUUUCCCCUCUCUCUCUCUUCUCUCUCUAUCUCUCUGCUUUAGAUCUCAGUCUCAUCAGGUCUUAUCUGCUUAGUAACUGGCUUCCACGAUCUGGUUACAUGUAUAUAUGUCAUUCCCUUUUUGCAAAUCAAAAUUUUGUAUGGUUUAAUCUUAUUUUGCUGUUUUGGCUGUAUAUAUCAGAGGGUGUUUUUUACAUCCCCCUCUCUCAUCUCUAUCGCUUAGGGUUUCGCUUCUUCUGUGUUUUAGUUUUGUUUUGUUCCAAUUAAGUAGAAGAGAGUAAAAUUCCGUAAUUUUUUUACUUCUCAUCUAAUCAUACCAAGCCAUUUCGAAUAGUUCGUCAAGUUUCUCCUCUCAUAUGUAUAUAUAUAUAUAUGUAUUGUAUAUGCAUAACUAUGUAUUUUGUACAAGUCUCUAGGCCUCUAGGGUAUAAACGAGGAGGCUAAGUAUUUACUAGUGUAAGUAGUUAGUCACAAAAAUUGAGUUUGAGUUUUGAGUUUGUGAGACAAAUCAACAUUACUAUAAGAAGAUUGUUAAACAAAACGGAAGACCAGUCUCCGGAGCCACGGUCGUUGUUUGCUGCUGUGGCAUCAUCAAGAUUCACAUCGCCAGAUGGACGGUGGUGAUUCACCCUCCCCAAAGUUCUCUGAUGAAAAUGAGAAUCUUGAUGAUGCUGCAUCGGAAAUCAACGGCUAUUCUUUCCCUCUCUCCUAUAUAUAUAUGUUUAAUAUAUACUUCAUUCGAACCAGAUCUUCUUCAGGUAGGUUUGUUUCUGCUUUAAGUUCCUUUCUUUUUGUUUCACGUUUAUGGUAACCGAUUCUCCCCAUUUUUAAUUUCUUAAUAAUUACAAUGAUUUCACCAAGAACUCUUGUGGGUAUUUUGUUUCAUCUGAUGUGGUAACCUUGAAUUUGAUUUAGGAUCUAAAGUUUUUUGGCAGUCAUUUUCAUGUUGGUAACACGAGGGGAUUCACAAGAUUCUCUAUCAAUAGGUUGACAAGGAUCACAACAUCAUUAAUGGAUCUAAUUAAGGUAAUUAAUAUAUGUGAUUUCUUUUGUUACCAUUCUAAUCUUGCAUUUCCAUAUCAAGAAAUAUUCUUUCUCAAGAAAGUAAAUAAUUAUAUUGAAGUUGAGAUAAUAAAAAGGGUCUAUAUGGAACUAUUGAUGUCUAGCAAAGAAGAGGUUUCCAGGACACACUGUCAGUUCUUUUUUUUGUUGGUUGAUGUUGGCUAUUACAUUCAAAUUGAGAAUCAAUCAGGAACUUGUUGGUGGACCUUACACAUUGUAGGCUAGGCUUAUUCAGUCCCACCUGUUUGUGUCCCCUCUAUUUACAUAUUUAGAUGUUUUUCUGACUGCAAUACUACUGAUGAGAAGUACUAAUCUCUUUUUGUCCUUAUUUUCUAAUAGGGUAUUACCAAUUAAUUUUUAGUCUAUAUUUGUUGCAUGAUGAAUCAAAUCAUUUGAACAAAACCAAUUCAUUGUAAUUAUGAGUUUCAUGUUUUGAUCAUGAGCAAAAACCAGCCGUGGCCAGUAAUAAUCAAAGCGGUGCACCCCCUUUCUGCUUCGGUAAAAAGAGUUACUAGUCAAACCAAACAUGACAGAUUGUUUCCAAAUAAAACUCUGAAUAAUUCUUUUUGUUUUUAUAAGCUUACGGCAUAAUGUAUUAAUUUUGUCAUGGAGAUUUUUGUGUCUCCGUACAUACAUAUAUUUAUUUGAAGAAAUGAAUUAUAUGCUGUAUCGUAGCUAUCAUUAUGCCUUUGAACAAUGCAUUGGAGGACCUAAACUUCAUCCAGUGACAACGGUACAUAUAUAGGUUGAAGCGAAAUCAUUCUAUUUCGUUCCUGUAAUGCACAAUGAAAGACUAUUUUUUCAGAUCAUGAUGAUCUCUAAUAGGUCCGACAAUCACAUAUUUUUUACAUCUCUUUUCUAGUAUUGGCAAAUGAAUUAUGAAAAGUAAUCCUAGAGUUUUUGCCUCUUUAAUAUCUCAUGUCUGUGCUCGAACUUGUACCUAAAUGAAGGUCUAUAAGCUAUAGAGACAUGGAUGAGUUUAAAAUGUUUUUAAUUGGAGAGUUUCGUGCGUGGGUGAAUAGUAUAUAUAUGGGUUCUGAUUGUCUUCGCAUUGAUAUAAUUGCUGUUAUGCAUUCAUCUUCUUUAAAACAAAUUAUGCACUAGUCCUAUAUACAUAUAAAUGCAAAGAAUACAAACGUAUUAAAUCUCUAAAGAUUUACAUAUCUAGAUCCGACAAAAAUGAGAAGGUAAAUAAUGGCUUUAGGGGAUGAAUGUGUGUGUGGUCCAUUCACAUUGAAACUAAACGCAACGCUCGGUUUGUGAGGACCAUUUCUCUAUAGUUGUACAUAUUAUUCGCAAAUUUCUAAAACUUUAGGCACUUAAUGUGUUUGUAUCACCAGACUGGCCUUUUGUUUACUAUUUAUAACUUUUGAUUAAAUUUUCUUUCAAGUAUUUUGAACGGCUAGUAAUUUUCGGAAGUCAUGUCUACGAUUUAUCAAAUUCAAACAGUUUGUUCAACAAAUAGCCAUUCCCCUAUCAAUCAAUAAAUUUGAUUUGGCAGUUUAGAAAAAUAUAUUUAUCUGACUACACAAGAUUUGACAGUGUCAUAGAGAUAUCUACUUAUGCUGUCAAAGUCAUCCAAAUUUUCUAAAUAUAAUUUGUGUGAUUGUUUAUCUUUCUAUUUCUAGCUCUCACGAUUUUUAAGUGCAUAUAUAUAUUUGGACUAAGAUUCGCAUGGAGGAAACGAUUAGAGGUACAUAAUACCAAAUAAUAAAUGUUGGAACAAUUUUCUUAGUAGACGUCAAUUCGAGUCAUAGGAAAAACAUAUAUGGGGGAGCUAGAAACCAAAUUCAGAAGUAGAAUUACAACAGUUUGAUGUCCAAUGUAUUACAUUUUUACUUUAUGUUUUAUUAAGCAUAUCUCUAUAAUAUAUUUGAAAACUCAAAAUAUUUUCAUAUGUAUUAUUUUAUAUUAAUUUAUUAAAAUCCUUAAUAAACUAAAAAUAUUAUACAAGUGCUAUGACUAAAAUGUAAUAUUUUGAUUUCUUUCUGCUUGAUAAAUUUCGAAUCAGUUUCUUUUCGUUUUAAUUUAUUUUUAAUUUUUACAAUUUUUAGCAAACAACAUAAUAUAUAUUAAAAAUAUUUUUACUAUAAAUCUGUUUUGAUCAAGUGAUUAGAAACGGAAAUAAAAAAAAGUAAAUAUCAUAAGGUAAUCAUAUGAUUUAUGAUUUUUUGAAAAUGUUUUUCUAUGUUACGACAUGAAGCCAAAUAAUUAAAUCAAACAAUAUGUGCAAAAUUAAAGUAUGACUAUCACAUGAUCCAACACUACAACAGAACAUACGAUUUAAGGAGGAACAUUACAAUAGAAAUUUAUCAUUGCGUAUUAGCUAUAGUUUUUAAGGAAUUGUGACCUUCUGAGCAGCACUCACAAUUUUUUUAACAAAUUUGCGAAGCUAAAUUUUCCUCAAGAAAUUAUGAGGCAAUUUGAAAGGGAAUUCCGAUUCUUCCUACUCGUCGUACUUUCCUCGCAAGUACUGAAAGUUGAAAUACAUUUUCAUUGUGAGUACCUAAAUUUUUGUGAGGAAAGCAUAAGAAAAUUCCUCGAAAACUAACUAUCUGUCAUAAUUCCUUCGCAAAGAUCUCUAAAAAAAAUUAGUUAAAAAAAAGAUCUUUAAAAAUUCUAUAAAUAGGUGAACGCGAUUAAAGAUCAUUUCUCAGCAAAUGAGAACUGCAAAAAGAAAAAGAAAAAGAAAAAGAAAAGAGACAAGAAAUUAGGAGUAGGAGAAAUGUCUUGAAAACAUGAAAUAUAUUCAUUACGGGUGGGAUGUAAAAUCACAGAGAUUUAGAAACUGGGAAAGUGACGUAAGAGUACCGUGCCAGAUUACGAAUUGUUACACCGUGUAACUAACCAGCCAUUCACGAGCAGUGGGAGACCUAUGGAACAAUUUAACGGGGGACAAACCAGUAAUAAAAAGAAAAAAAUAUAUAUAUAUAUAUAUAUGCAGGUUAAUAUGAGAACUGAACACUUCUUUUCGGGGGCCAAGAGACAUUUUGAACCAAUAAUGGUGUUGAAUCUUUAAAGAUUUUUCUUACACUUAAAGUUUUUAGACCCAAGUUUUUAUCAUAUUUAAGGGCUUCAUUUGCCUUAGUGCGUCCGUCUUUGUGCUCAAGGAAACAUAGUAAAUGUUCUAUCUAUAUAAAAAAUGUUAAAACAAGUUAUAUAUUGUGAAGAGCAUAUAUAUAAUAGAUGAUUUAGACCAAACUACUAUAUAUGGUUCUCGCAUGGGGGAAGAUGCAUUAUCAGUACGGAUCAGAGAUUUGAGCAUAAUACUAGUUAUGAUGAGAUCAUGGACAAUAUAUAUUUGAAAAUGCGAGUGAUGGGUAUGAGUAGGAAAAAUAGGUUUCAUGAUAUGAUUACAAGUUCAUUUCAUGAAGAUGCAAAUGCAAUUCUUGAUAAUAAAGAAGAACUAAUGUUAUUGCGAAACAAUUUUAUGAUAUGCUAAAAACUAUCUACGAUAGACGUAGAUAAUACUUUCUAGAUUAUCACUAGCAUCUAUGAUGAUGAAAACUAAAAGUGUUUAUAUAUCUAAAUAAAAAUUAAACGUGAUCAUAAUCUAUAAUAGACAAUACACUUUUAUGAAAUAUUUUAGUCUAAGACACCAAUAUAGCAUAAAUGACGUUUUAGGGUGCAGAUGAAGACACCAAUUAAUGGUAACGUCUUCGAUCGCCAAAACGCCUCCUUUGUGGUUAGCAAGUAAGGACGAACGCUUUUGGGAUACAAGCAGACAAACAACCUUUGCAUGUUAAAAGCUGGAAGUGGCUCCUGCUUUUAUUUAUUUAUUUAACGCUAGGUGUAUUAUAUCAAAAUAAAGAGAUCAUAUCAGAGUUUGCAGGUUAUCCUCCACAGACAGAGGAAACUUGCGAUGGAGCAUAAGUAAAAAAUGGGAUAAAACCCAAAAGGAAACAGAGUAUGCAGGGCAAAUUAAUCUCAACAGAGACCAUGUGCACCAAAACAUACGACAGGAUUCAGGAAACACCCCAUAGGUUAGAGACCAGCAGCUUCCUCUUCCAAGAUACGUCUAAACCACCCAGGAUCACACGAGCAAUGUGCGAUUGAUAUCUUCUAUCACGUGUAACACUCAUCACAAGUGCAGAGGCUACCCUGUUUCGUUCCACACCUAUGUGUUCUAAUCUCCAGAGAACAAAUGAAGGCAAGAGAUGGAGAAUAUUACCCAAUCAGCUCGUGGAACAAUAGGAACUGACGAGGAUAUAUUAAAGCUUCCCGUCCUAGAACUAAAAAAUAGUAAAGAAUAAAAAUAAAAUAAACUUAAAAUUAUUAGGUUAUGUCAUUUUAGUUAUUUCAUUUAGUUACAAUCAAUUUUUUUAUUAUUUAACUAUCAAAAUUAUAUAAAUAAUAAUAUGAAUUAAAAUUUGUAGGGUUUUAAAUUUUAUUAAACAAAACCAUUAUAGUGAAAAAAAUUAUAUGGGUGUUGAAUUAAUAGGUAGAAGAAAGAGAUGUGUUCUCGAGGUGUUGCUUCGAACAAGGAUACGUAUUGGGGGUUGAUGAAUGGGCUCUGCAAGGCAGGGAAAGUGUGCGAAGGGAUGAGAUUGUUGGAGGAGCUGCGAGUGAACGAGUUUUAGGUUGAUGAAGCGAUGUAUACGUUAUAGAGCAGGAAGGGUAGAUAAUGCUUUGGAGGUGGUGGCUGAGAUGGUUAGGGAAGGAUACGUUAAUGACGGUAAAGUAUUUGAAAGAUUAGCUGAUGCGUUGUCUGAAGUAAACCGGGAAGAAGAGGCAGCGAUGAUGAUUACAUUCGUUGUUAAGAGCGGCGUCAAACCAAGUUCUUUGUGGCCUGAGAUGAAGAUGUUGUAAAGGGAGAGGAGAACUUAUUAACAGACUGAGAUUACAGGUCUUUGGAUAUGGGGAAUAAUGAUGAAAAUGGUGGGGAGUAAUUAUAAACAGGAACAUGCUGAAGAAAGUUUAGUAGCAGUUGAUAAAGAGGAUGAACAUUAGUUUGAUUAGGUCCAUACUGUAUGAUUGUUUCCAUCUAUAUUUGCUUACUUUUCACUUUUCUUCUUAACUUCACUUGCCAAAUAACAUUGGACACACAUUUUGAAUACAAAAACAUUUUAUUUUGCAAUCAGAACAAUCCUUACUCGGAAUAGAAAAAUAUUAUUUCUCGUUAAACAAAGCUACUCAUUUCCCCCAUAGAAAAAAAAAAAA
Molecule: long non-coding RNA, 6707 nt
Organism: Brassica rapa (field mustard)
Lineage: Eukaryota; Viridiplantae; Streptophyta; Magnoliopsida; Brassicales; Brassicaceae
Source: RefSeq, a predicted model, not a curated record